CUCUGUUCGGGCGGUCCACGGCGACACUCCUGGGCAGAAAAGGGAUUUUUCCCUUUGCUGGCUGUUCCUCCUAUCUUUGGCUAUGGUAUGGAGCGUUUGCUUACCAAAGAGUCCAUUUGAAACUUGCCAGCCAGCUCCGAAGUUUUGGUCACUGUAAAAAUCCUGCUUCUCUUGGGAACUUUUAAAUUAUAAUGAUCUGUGAUUAUAUUUGCUCUCCAGCAGUGAUCUUUCCACCCGUUAUUUCUGAAUGUCUCAGAAAAAGGAUUCAAGGAUCUCAAGGGUAGAGCAACACCAUCUUCAUUGUUUCUCCUGGGACUGGACCCACAAGAGCAGCAUUCCAGUGGAUACAGAAGCUGGCACACCACAGCUCACCUCUGUUCAUUGCAUCCUGCUUAUCUUCUUAUUAGUUGAACAAAUUCCUUGACUCUGAUUUUCUAUGAGGCCACAAGCCCCUAGUGAGCUCUCUUCUUUGGUCUUUUUGAGACAGGGUCUUCCAGUAGCCCCAGCUGUCCUGGAACUCACUAUGUAGACAAGGCUGGCCUUCAACUCACAGAGAUCUUCCUGCCUCUGCCUCCCAAGUGCUGGGAUUAAAGGUCCGGCUCCUUGCUAAUGUUCUAACAGUGCAAAUAACAGUUUGCAAAUACUCACUUUAGCAGGGUGUGGCAGCACAUGCUGGAAGAUCAAGAGUUCCAGGUCAGCCUGGACCUCAUAGUGAGACCCUGUCUCAAAAAACAAGGGUCAGAGUGGCAGGGUGUUUGCCUAGCAUAUCCAGUGCCCUGGGCUGCAUCUCCAGCACUACAAGCAAACAAAAUAUAUAAAUAUUUAAUUAGCCAACUAGCAAAAAUAAACGGUUUUUGAGAUAAAGGGCUUCCUUUAUAGUCCAGUGGGCCUUGAACUCAUGAUCCUCUGGCCUCAAUCUUCUGAAUGCUGAGAUCACAGACAUGUACCACCAUACCUGGCAUCUCCAAUAUAUUUUAAAUAAUCUAGAGAGCAUUUAUAAUAGCUGCUACAAUGUAAAUACUAGUGAGUAGUUGUUCUAUAUUAUUUAUGGACUAAUGACAAUGGAGAAAAGGAGAUUCUGUCUUUGGUUUUGAAGGUUUUGUUGUUGUUUAGACAAGGACUCCCUGUAUAGUCCAGGCUAGCAUGGAACUCACAAUUCUCCUGCUUCUACUUCCCAAGCGCUGGGAUUACAGGUGUAUGCCACCAUACCUGGCCUAUGUCUUUAGUACUUUUCAGUAUUUUUUCCCCAGAAUAUUUUGGAUUAUUGAUUGAUUUAUGAAGGCAGAACCUGGGGACACUGAGGACUGACUGUACAUGAACCAGCCUGAGAGUUUAACAGCAGUGAAUAAUAUCAGAAGAUUGAAAGAAUGAUUGAUCACUUUUAAAUUGUGAUAACAUAGUGGCAGAUCAUAGGAAGUGUUCUGAUCUGUAGAAAUGUAUACUGAAUACCUUUGGAAGAAAUUAUAGGAUACUGUGUAUAAAA
Nannospalax galili (Upper Galilee mountains blind mole rat) is the source of this 1483-nucleotide long non-coding RNA. RefSeq lists it as uncharacterized. NCBI's taxonomy places the organism in Eukaryota, Metazoa, Chordata, Mammalia, Rodentia, Spalacidae. The transcript has 3 exons. The record is from RefSeq and is a predicted model, not a curated record.